Molecule: transfer RNA, 78 nt
Filed under: Perca fluviatilis (European perch)
Lineage: Eukaryota; Metazoa; Chordata; Actinopteri; Perciformes; Percidae
Rfam family: tRNA
About the family: Transfer RNA (tRNA) molecules are approximately 80 nucleotides in length.
Source: Rfam by way of RNAcentral
GGUAGUGUGGCCAGUGGUCUAAGGGCUGGAUUUAGGCUCCAGUCUCUCUGGGACGUGGGUUCAAAUCCACCACUGCCA